GUGGGGAAUCUUCCGCAAUGGACGAAAGUCUGACAGAGCAACGCCGCGUGAGUGAAGAAGGUUUUCGGAUCGUAAAGCUCUUUCGUUAGGGACGAACGUGCUCUUUGUGAAUAAUGAGGAGUAAUGACGGUACCUAAAUAAGAAGCCACGGCUAACUACGUGCCAGCAGCCGCGGUAAUACGGAGGUGGCAAGCGUUGUCCGGAAUUAUUGGGCGUAAAGCGCGCGCAGGCGGGAUAUCAAGUCUGUCUUAAAAGUGCGAGGCUCAACCUCGUGAGGGGACAGAAACUGGUAUUCUUGAGUGUCGGAGAGGAAAGUGGAAUUCCAAGUGUAGCGGUGAAAUGCGUAGAGAUUUGGAAGAACACCAGUGGCGAAGGCGACUUUCUGGACGAUGUCUGACGCUGAGGCGCGAAAGCUAGGGGAGCGAACGGGAUUAGAAACCCUUGUAGUCC
Molecule: ribosomal RNA, 450 nt
Filed under: uncultured bacterium
Lineage: Bacteria
Description: partial 16S ribosomal RNA
Rfam family: Bacterial small subunit ribosomal RNA
Source: RNAcentral